CCGGAGAUUCAACAGUUUUUUCUUGAAGCUAAUUAAAAUGGAAGUAGGCAAGAGUGGAGAUGUUACAGAGGAAGUCGUCGAUAGAGACAGAGCCCAGGACGUUGCCUCUCGAUCAAAUAGAAAAUGCCCGAGAGGAGGCAUUGUGUGUGAUAAAGACAAAGACCUUCCAGGAAGCACUGGAUAUUUUCACAAAGGAGACGCAAGAGCACUACAAGAAAGAUGUGUAUCCUCCGAUGAAAUUUACCGAGAAUCUUUUUUGUUAGAAAAAACCUGAUAGAUUAUUGAGAAUUUUCCGAGAAUUACAAAAUUUUGUUACAAUCUCAUCGGAAAGUUCCGACAUAAAGGUUUUGUCGGUAGUCUCUUGGAACGAGUUGUCGUAAAUUUCUCGGGAAGUUUAUAUACCGACAAAUAAAAUUAUUCUCGGUAAAUAAUCGGAAAAGUAGACAAGAAUUCGUCGGAAGUCUCACGAUAAGUGUGUGGCGCCUUUCUACAGUGGCUACCUACAGAAUAUCAAUAUAUUUUUAACAUUUCUAUUAAUUUUAAAAUAACUUUUAUUAAUUUGAUCGAAAAUAAAUGUUUUAUACCUUCUCUCCCCUUCUUCGAUCCAUUAUCUUUCUUCAAGUUCUUUUAAUUUUACUUUCUUCCUUUUCUCUUCUUUAUCCUGUAAUCUUCUUCCUUAGUUUCUUUAAACCAGUCAUAAUUUGGUUGUAUUCCCUUCUAUCUUAUUUCUUUUUCGUCGCAACUCCUUAUUUAGAUCUAUUUUUUUCUCAACUUCUAGGAAUUUUUUUUUUUUGUCACAAACUUCUUUGUGAUUUCAGUCUCUGUUUUCAAGACCUUAAGAGCAGCAAGAAGAAAAGUCAUAAGAAAGCCCAUGGGGUCCUCAACUUUCUUCUUAGAAGCAAAGAUAAGUCCAUUUUGUUUUUGCCUUUUGUUUUCUUUGCCUCAGUCCUUUUCAUCUUCUCUUUUGUUCAUCUUCUUCUCAAUCUUCUCAUUUCUCUGUUUCUUCAUGUAGAUCUGUUUUAUAUUUUCAGAUUCUUUUUGGAUAAGUCAACCGUCGAUGAUGUUUACCAGAACCGCCGUUUGGGCCAACAGUUUCUCCGUUCACUAAAACUGCCGUUUGUGCCACCGACACCUCUUUCCACCGCCGGAGCUUCAGAUUUUUGUUUAAAAUUUUUAUUUGUUUAUUUUAGUGAAUAUUUGAUAAUUUUAAUAUUAUUAUCUUUAUUUGCA
Molecule: long non-coding RNA, 1230 nt
Organism: Brassica napus (rape)
Lineage: Eukaryota; Viridiplantae; Streptophyta; Magnoliopsida; Brassicales; Brassicaceae
Exons: 2
Source: RefSeq, a predicted model, not a curated record